Amphimedon queenslandica is the source of this 303-nucleotide long non-coding RNA. RefSeq lists it as uncharacterized. The transcript is spliced from 2 exons. The record is from RefSeq and is a predicted model, not a curated record. NCBI's taxonomy places the organism in Eukaryota, Metazoa, Porifera, Demospongiae, Haplosclerida, Niphatidae.
UGUAUUACUAUUACUAUUCACUUGAGUCCUACUACUGGUUCAUUGUUUAAUGUUACAAUACAAUCAUUAUGUAUCAUCAGUAUAAUAUAAUGAGUGGGUCUGUAUCUAUUCAUUAUAUUAGGAGAUAUAUGAUCUUAUGUUGGACUGUUGGGCCAUUAAUCCUACUAACAGACCUAAAGCUAUUGAAAUAUCUAAUGCGGUGGCUUAGAUAUAUGGACCCCUGACCUAUCAGCACAAAUUGAAGUCCAAUCACAACAUCCUGAUUAUCAGAAUAUGUCCACCAUAUUGGAAUCGGCUAGGAAA